UGGGGUUGUGGCUCAGUGGUAGAGUGCUUACCUAGCAUGUGUGAGACACUGGGUUUAAUUCUCAGCACCACAA
Molecule: transfer RNA, 73 nt
Filed under: Marmota monax (woodchuck)
Lineage: Eukaryota; Metazoa; Chordata; Mammalia; Rodentia; Sciuridae
Description: tRNA.Ala
Rfam family: tRNA
About the family: Transfer RNA (tRNA) molecules are approximately 80 nucleotides in length. Their secondary structure includes four short double-helical elements and three loops (D, anti-codon, and T loops).
Source: RNAcentral